ACUACGGGUGGCAGCAGUGGGGGAUAUUGCACAAUGGGGGGAACCCUGAUGCAGCGACGCCGCGUGGGUGAAGAAGCGCCUCGGCGCGUAAAGCCCUGUCAGCAGGGAAGAAAAUGACGGUACCUGAAGAAGAAGCCCCGGCUAACUACGUGCCAGCAGCCGCGGUAAUACGUAGGGGGCAAGCGUUAUCCGGAUUUACUGGGUGUAAAGGGGGCGCAGACGGCGGUGCAAGCCAGGAGUGAAAGCCCGGGGCCCAACCCCGGGAAUGCUCUUGGAACUGCGUGGCUGGAGUGCAGGAGGGGCAGGCGGAAUUCCUGGUGUAGCGGUGAAAUGCGGAGAUAUCAGGAGGAACACCGGUGGCGAAGGCGGCCUGCUGGACUGCAACUGACGUUGAGGCCCGAAAGCGUGGGGAGCAAACAGGAUUAGAUACCCCUGUAGUC
This 440-nucleotide ribosomal RNA is filed under the name uncultured bacterium. Its description in RNAcentral is "partial 16S ribosomal RNA". It matches the Rfam family "Bacterial small subunit ribosomal RNA", at positions 338 to 795 of the family's 1533-position model. The record is from RNAcentral.